GUGGAUUUCUGGCUCAGUGGUUAAGAGCACUGACUGCCCUUCCAGAGGUCCUGAGUUCAAAUCCCAGCAACCACA
RNAcentral lists this transfer RNA (75 nucleotides) under Mus musculus (house mouse). RNAcentral's name for it is "tRNA-Gly". The record is from RNAcentral. Lineage: Eukaryota; Metazoa; Chordata; Mammalia; Rodentia; Muridae.